AACGAACGCUGGCGGCACGCUUAACACAUGCAAGUCGAACGAACUCUUCGGAGUGAGUGGCAGACGGGUGCGUAACACGUGGGAACCUACCCUUUAGUUCGGAAUAACACAGAGAAAUUUGUGCUAAUACCGGAUACGCCCUUCGGGGGAAAGAUUUAUCGCUUAAGGAUGGGCCCGCGGCUGAUUAGCUAGUUGGUGAGGUAACUGCUUACCAAGGCGACGAUCAGUAGCUGGUUUGAGAGGAUGAUCAGCCACACUGGAACUGAGACACGGUCCAGACUCCUACGGGAGGCAGCAGUGGGGAAUAUUGGACAAUGGGCGAAAGCCUGAUCCAGCGAUGCCGCGUGAGUGAUGAAGGCCCUAGGGUUGUAAAACUCUUUCGAUGGUGAAGAUAAUGACGGUAACCAUUAAAGAAGCCCCGGCUAAUUUCG
Molecule: ribosomal RNA, 431 nt
Filed under: uncultured Alphaproteobacteria bacterium
Lineage: Bacteria; Pseudomonadati; Pseudomonadota; Alphaproteobacteria
Description: bacterial SSU rRNA
Rfam family: Bacterial small subunit ribosomal RNA
Source: RNAcentral